AGACGCUAUUCCCUAAGAUUAACCCAUGCAUGUUUUUGACAUUUGAAAAAUGGACUGCUCAGUAAUACUCACUUUAUUUUAUGUAAAUUUUUGAUUAAUUAACUACGUUAAAGUGUAGAUAAGAUGUUUACAGUAAGAGUGAGACCUAUCAGCUAGUUGUUAAGGUAAUGGCUUAACAAGGCUGUGACGGGUAACGGUAUUGCUUUGUAAUAUUCCGGAGAAGGAGCCUGAGAGACGGCUACUAAGUCUAAGGAUUGCAGCAGGGGCGAAACUUGACCUAUGGAUUUUAUCUGAGGCAGUUAUGGGAAGUAAUAUUAUAUUGUUUCAUAUUUUAAAAGUAUAUGAGGUGAUUAAUUGGAGGGCAAAUCAAGUGCCAGCAGCCGCGGUAAUACUUGUUCCAAGAGUGUGUAUGAUGAUUGAUGCAGUUAAAAAGUCCGUAGUUUAUUUUUUAAGAAGCAAUAUGAGGUGUACUGUAUAGUUGGGAGAAAGAUGAAAUGUGACGACCCUGACUGGACGAAC
This 519-nucleotide ribosomal RNA is filed under the name Vairimorpha ceranae. RNAcentral describes it as "Nosema ceranae partial small subunit ribosomal RNA". It matches the Rfam family "Microsporidia small subunit ribosomal RNA", at positions 25 to 593 of the family's 1311-position model. Lineage: Eukaryota; Fungi; Microsporidia; Nosematidae. The record is from RNAcentral.